UUUUUUUUUUUUCUGAGUUGAAAUAACAUGUGUAUAUUGGU
This 41-nucleotide small RNA is filed under the name Plasmodium falciparum 3D7. Its description in RNAcentral is "Pfa-npcR6077". Lineage: Eukaryota; Apicomplexa; Aconoidasida; Haemosporida; Plasmodiidae. The record is from RNAcentral.